AUCCGGCUGACAAGUCCAAAAGUAGGACGAAACGUGCGUCUUGGAU
RNAcentral lists this non-coding RNA (46 nucleotides) under Schistosoma mansoni. Lineage: Eukaryota; Metazoa; Platyhelminthes; Trematoda; Strigeidida; Schistosomatidae. The record is from RNAcentral.